ACAACGCCAUUUUAUUUGUGACAGUUGAUCUACGUAGUCGUAUAUCGCUGUCACGCCUAGCGGCCUAGCCGCCUAGGUGCCACAAUGGUGGCUUACCACGGACUAGGGUAGACUUCUAUCUUUGUCCGUGGUAACCUAUCUAAUUUUUCAUGAAGUAUCAUACCAUAGACCGCUAUCCAUAAGAAAAAGAUGUAGAUCAGAGAACAAUUAUUUCAAACAAGCACACUGGUCGUCAGAGCGCCGCCAUGACAGAUCCGUUGUCCACGUGGAUUUUUACUUAUCGAUCACGUCGAACGGACCGAUCACCCGCUAUGAAUACUGCCGCAUCGUGUGUCACGUUUGACUGUGCGUAACAUAAAAUGGAUCAUGGACGUUGUUGUCACAGCGGUGUUCCCGCGGUUUGUGGAAGUACGCGAUUCUACGGACGUUUUUAUGAAGUGAUAUCUGCGCAAAAGAAGUGAUGAUCACUCUACGAGUACAAUGCGUCAUAGGUACUAUGAUGUAUUCAGCCUACAUGUCUUUUCCUCAUUGUGGAUACACGUUUAAAGAAUGAAAGCAGUUCGGAGUACUUCCAUAAGACGCGGGAACAGUGUUGGAUGAGGACAUCUAUUAUUUAUUUUACUUCAGUUACUCAUCGAUCAAACAUAGCCAUUCGAAGCAGCAAUAUCCAUAGUGGGAGACCGGACCAAUUGACUGGUCCUAAGAGUAUGCAAAUAUUAAUGAUAAUCUUAACAUUAUAUAAAUAAUAUAUUUUUUUAA
This is a long non-coding RNA of Melanaphis sacchari, 759 nucleotides long. RefSeq lists it as uncharacterized. The transcript is spliced from 2 exons. NCBI's taxonomy places the organism in Eukaryota, Metazoa, Arthropoda, Insecta, Hemiptera, Aphididae. The record is from RefSeq and is a predicted model, not a curated record.